CGAACGGGUGAGUAACACGUGGGCAACCUGCCCAAANAGGGGGAUAACACUUGGAAACAGGUGCUAAUACCGCAUAACCAUAGUUACCGCAUGGUAACUAUGUAAAAGGUGGCUAUGCUACCGCUUUUGGAUGGGCCCGCGGCGCAUUAGCUAGUUGGUGGGGUAAAGGCUUACCAAGGCAAUGAUGCGUAGCCGAACUGAGAGGUUGAUCGGCCACAUUGGGACUGAGACACGGCCCAAACUCCUACGGGAGGCAGCAG
RNAcentral lists this ribosomal RNA (260 nucleotides) under uncultured bacterium. RNAcentral's name for it is "partial 16S ribosomal RNA". It matches the Rfam family "Bacterial small subunit ribosomal RNA", at positions 99 to 354 of the family's 1533-position model. The record is from RNAcentral.